AUAUAGCUCAGUUGGUGGAGUGCUUGCCUUGAAUACACAAGACCCUGGGUUCAAUCCCCAGUAU
RNAcentral lists this transfer RNA (64 nucleotides) under Ictidomys tridecemlineatus (thirteen-lined ground squirrel). RNAcentral's name for it is "Spermophilus tridecemlineatus (thirteen-lined ground squirrel) tRNA". It matches the Rfam family "tRNA", at positions 5 to 66 of the family's 71-position model. Rfam says of the family: Transfer RNA (tRNA) molecules are approximately 80 nucleotides in length. Lineage: Eukaryota; Metazoa; Chordata; Mammalia; Rodentia; Sciuridae. The record is from Rfam by way of RNAcentral.